UACGAAGGGGGCUAGCGUUGCUCGGAAUUACUGGGCGUAAAGGGCGCGUAGGCGGAUAUUUAAGUUGGGGGUGAAAUCCCGGGGCUCAACCUCAGAAUUGCCUUCAAAACUGGAUAUCUUGAGUUCGGGAGAGGUGAGUGGAACUCCGAGUGUAGAGGUGAAAUUCGUAGAUAUUCGGAAGAACACCAGUGGCGAAGGCGACUCACUGGCCCGAUACUGACGCUGAGGCGCGAAAGCGUGGGGAGCAAACAGG
This 253-nucleotide ribosomal RNA is filed under the name uncultured bacterium. RNAcentral's name for it is "partial 16S ribosomal RNA". It matches the Rfam family "Bacterial small subunit ribosomal RNA", at positions 524 to 776 of the family's 1533-position model. The record is from RNAcentral.